GACGAACGCUGGCGGCGUGCUUAACACAUGCAAGUCGAACGGAAAGGCUCCAGCUUGCUGGAGUACUCGAGUGGCGAACAGGUGAGUAACACGUGGGUAAUCUGCCCUGCACUCUGGGAUAAGCCUGGGAAACUGGGUCUAAUACUGGAUAUGACCUUUCUCCUUAUGGGGUUUGGUGGAAAGUUUUUCGGUGUAGGAUGAGCCCGCGGCCUAUCAGCUUGUUGGUGGGGUGAUGGCUUACCAAGGCGACGACGGGUAGCCGGCCUGAGAGGGUGAUCGGCCACAUUGGGACUGAGAUACGGCCCAGACUCCUACGGGAGGCAGCAGUGGGGAAUAUUGCACAAUGGGCGGAAGCCUGAUGCAGCGACGCCGCGUGAGGGAUGACGGCCUUCGGGUUGUAAACCUCUUUCAGCAGGGACGAAGCGUAAGUGACGGUACCUGCAGAAGAAGCACCGGCUAACUAUGUG
Molecule: ribosomal RNA, 467 nt
Filed under: uncultured bacterium
Lineage: Bacteria
Description: partial 16S ribosomal RNA
Rfam family: Bacterial small subunit ribosomal RNA
Source: RNAcentral